Cebus imitator (Panamanian white-faced capuchin) is the source of this 564-nucleotide long non-coding RNA. RefSeq lists it as uncharacterized. The record is from RefSeq and is a predicted model, not a curated record. Lineage: Eukaryota; Metazoa; Chordata; Mammalia; Primates; Cebidae. The transcript is spliced from 3 exons.
AAAAAAAAAAAAAAAAAAAAAAAAAAAGGAUUCCUUUCAAAAUAUACUAUUCAUUGACAAAGCACCUAGUCACCCGAGCUGUCAUGGAGAUAUAAAAGCACAGUAAUGUUGUUUUCAUGCUUGUUAACAUCCAUUCUGCAGCUCAUGGAUCAAGUAGUAAAUUUGGCUUUCAAGUCUUGUUAUUUAAGAAAUAUAUUUCAUAAGACUAUAGCUGCAUAUGUAGUGUUUCCUCUGAUGGAGCUGGGCAGAGUAAUUUGACAACCUUUUAAAAAGAAUUUGCCAUUCUAGAUGUCAUUAAGAACAUUCAUGAUUCAUGAAAGAAGGUCAAAACAUUAACAUUAACCUGAGUUUGGAAGAAGUGGAUUCCAAUCCUCAUGAAUGACUUUGAGGGGUUCAGAACUUCAAUCCAGAAUGUAACUGUAGAUGUGGUAAAAAUAGCAGGAGAACUAGAAUGAGAACUGGAGCCUGAAGAUGUGACUAAAUUGCUGCAAUCUCGUGAUAAAACUUUAACAAUGAGAAGUUGCUUCUUACAGAUGUGCAAAGAAAGUGGGUUCUUGAGAAGGA